This 466-nucleotide ribosomal RNA is filed under the name uncultured bacterium. Its description in RNAcentral is "partial 16S ribosomal RNA". It matches the Rfam family "Bacterial small subunit ribosomal RNA", at positions 28 to 507 of the family's 1533-position model. The record is from RNAcentral.
GACGAACGCUGGCGGCGCGCCUAACACAUGCAAGUCGAACGAGCGAGAGAGAGCUUGCUUUCUUGAGCGAGUGGCGAACGGGUGAGUAACGCGUGAGGAACCUGCCUCAAAGAGGGGGACAACAGUUGGAAACGACUGCUAAUACCGCAUAAGCCCACGGUGCCGCAUGGCACAGAGGGAAAAGGAGCAAUCCGCUUUGAGAUGGCCUCGCGUCCGAUUAGCUAGUUGGUGAGGUAACGGCCCACCAAGGCGACGAUCGGUAGCCGGACUGAGAGGUUGAACGGCCACAUUGGGACUGAGACACGGCCCAGACUCCUACGGGAGGCAGCAGUUGGGAAUAUUGCACAAUGGGGGAAACCCUGAUGCAGCGACGCCGCGUGGAGGAAGAAGGUCUUCGGAUUGUAAACUCCUGUUGUUGGGGAAGAUAAUGACGGUACCCAACAAGGAAGUGACGGCUAACUACGUG